This 554-nucleotide ribosomal RNA is filed under the name uncultured euryarchaeote. Its description in RNAcentral is "bacterial SSU rRNA". It matches the Rfam family "Archaeal small subunit ribosomal RNA", at positions 325 to 880 of the family's 1478-position model. Lineage: Archaea; Methanobacteriati; Methanobacteriota. The record is from RNAcentral.
AUGGGGUGCAGCAGGCGCGAAACCUCCGCAAUGCGGGCAACCGCGACGGGGGGACCCCCAGUGCCGUGGCAACGCCACGGCUUUUCCGGAGUGUAAAAAGCUCCGGGAAUAAGGGCUGGGCAAGGCCGGUGGCAGCCGCCGCGGUAAUACCGGCGGCCCGAGUGGUGGCCGCUAUUAUUGGGCCUAAAGCGUCCGUAGCCGGGCCCGUAAGUCCCUGGCGAAAUCCCACGGCUCAACCGUGGGGCUUGCUGGGGAUACUGCGGGCCUUGGGACCGGGAGAGGCCGGGGGUACCCCUGGGGUAGGGGUGAAAUCCUAUAAUCCCAGGGGGACCGCCAGUGGCGAAGGCGCCCGGCUGGAACGGGUCCGACGGUGAGAGACGAAGGCCAGGGGAGCGAACCGGAUUAGAUACCCGGGUAGUCCUGGCUGUAAAGGAUGCGGGCUAGGUGUCGGGCGAGCUUCGAGCUCGCCCGGUGCCGAAGGGAAGCCGUUAAGCCCGCCGCCUGGGGAGUACGGCCGCAAGGCUGAAACUUAAAGGAAUUGGCGGGGGAGCACC